GGGUUCCUUUUAUGGGGAUGAUUUUUCCCUUUCACCAUUUUCUUCUUUAAAUUAUCCGAAGAGAAAGGAUCAGAAUGAUUCAGAACGUUGCAGAAGAGCAAGAAUGGCACCUGAUAAGACCGUUCUCGUUGCAAGCCGUACAUGUCUUGAACCCACUUUUCUCCGUGAACAAUUUGUGGCUUCCGUUGCAAUCCUCGCACAGAAUGAACCUGUAGCCGCCGCAGACCUCACAAACGCCGGAAUCCGCCGUCGGCAACCCUUCAAUCAGCUUCUUCAGCUCGCCAAUCUCGUGUAACUGCCUGAUUUCCUCUGCCCCGCCGAUGUAUUCCCCGCCGAUGAAAACCGUGGGUAAGGCCAACUCCUUUUUACCAAGUAUUUGCUGUAAUUCAGCGACAAAUCCUGAAUCCAUCGACAGAUCUCGUUCGUCAAUCGAAACACGAAACCCUCGCAAUAUUGAGCGGACGGUCCGACAAUCCUCA
This 479-nucleotide unclassified non-coding RNA is filed under the name Hevea brasiliensis (rubber tree). Lineage: Eukaryota; Viridiplantae; Streptophyta; Magnoliopsida; Malpighiales; Euphorbiaceae. The record is from RNAcentral.